RNAcentral lists this ribosomal RNA (380 nucleotides) under Campylobacter jejuni. Its description in RNAcentral is "bacterial SSU rRNA". It matches the Rfam family "Bacterial small subunit ribosomal RNA", at positions 1 to 378 of the family's 1533-position model. The record is from RNAcentral. Lineage: Bacteria; Pseudomonadati; Campylobacterota; Epsilonproteobacteria; Campylobacterales; Campylobacteraceae.
UUUUAUGGAGAGUUUGAUCCUGGCUCAGAGUGAACGCUGGCGGCGUGCCUAAUACAUGCAAGUCGAACGAUGAAGCUUUUAGCUUGCUAGAAGUGGAUUAGUGGCGCACGGGUGAGUAAGGUAUAGUUAAUCUGCCCUACACAAGAGGACAACAGUUGGAAACGACUGCUAAUACUCUAUACUCCUGCUUAACACAAGUUGAGUAGGGAAAGUUUUUCGGUGUAGGAUGAGACUAUAUAGUAUCAGCUAGUUGGUAAGGUAAUGGCUUACCAAGGCUAUGACGCUUAACUGGUCUGAGAGGAUGAUCAGUCACACUGGAACUGAGACACGGUCCAGACUCCUACGGGAGGCAGCAGUAGGGAAUAUUGCGCAAUGGGGGA